ACGGUUUAGGGUUGCCGUAGCGAAAGAGAGUCUUAAAUGUGCGUUGAGUUGCAAGGUAUAGACCCGAAACCCGGUGAUCUAGCCAUGGGCAGGUUGAAGGUUGAGUAACAUCAACUGGAGGACCGAACCCACUAACGUUGAAAAGUUAGGGGAUGACCUGUGGCUUGGAGUGAAAGGCUAAUCAAACCGGGAGAUAGCUGGUUCUCCCCGAAAUCUAUUUAGGUAGAGCCUCGGACGAAUACUUACGGGGGUAGAGCACUGUUAAGGCUAGGGGGUCAUCCCGACUUACCAACCCUUUGCAAACUCCGAAUACCGUAAAGUACUAUCCGGGAGCCACACGGUGGGUGCUAACGUCCAUCGUGGAGAGGGCACCAACCCAGACCGUCAGCGAACUUCACAAAGUCUAUGUUUAGUCGGCACCGAUGAGG
RNAcentral lists this ribosomal RNA (428 nucleotides) under Pseudoalteromonas phenolica. RNAcentral describes it as "partial 23S ribosomal RNA". It matches the Rfam family "Bacterial large subunit ribosomal RNA", at positions 653 to 1078 of the family's 2925-position model. Lineage: Bacteria; Pseudomonadati; Pseudomonadota; Gammaproteobacteria; Alteromonadales; Pseudoalteromonadaceae. The record is from RNAcentral.